RNAcentral lists this ribosomal RNA (233 nucleotides) under uncultured bacterium. Its description in RNAcentral is "partial 16S ribosomal RNA". It matches the Rfam family "Bacterial small subunit ribosomal RNA", at positions 524 to 754 of the family's 1533-position model. The record is from RNAcentral.
UACGAAGGGGGCUAGCGUUGUUCGGAUUUACUGGGCGUAAAGCGCACGUAGGCGGAUUGUUAAGUCAGGGGUGAAAUCCCGGAGCUCAACUCCGGAACUGCCCUUUGAUACUGGCAAUCUAGAGUCCGGAAGAGGGUGAGUGGAACUCCUAGUGUAGAGGUGGAAUUCGUAGAUAUUAGGAAGAACACCAGUGGCGAAGGCGGCUCACUGGUCCGGUACUGACGCUGAGGUGC